AUGUUGGCCAGACUGGUCUUGAACUCCCGAUCUCAGGUAUUUACGUUCAUUUUAGAAUCCAUGAAUCUAGGCAGAUUUGAGACUGAGCUCUCAUCUCCUUGGCUGCAGCACUGGAGAAAGCUCCUCUUCCUUGGCAAUCCUGGUUGUCACCGGCUUUCUCUGUGGGGGAACUCCUGGUGUUUCGGUAACAAUACAUGGGAUUAGUGUCCUCCCAAAAUGGACCUCAGAGGCUGCUCUGCUCUUUCCACCACAUAAGGACAUAUCUGCACACAAGGAAGUGGGCCUCACCAGACAAGGGAUCUGCCCACACCUGGAUCUUGACCUUUCCAGCCUCCAGAACUCUGAUAAAUGAAUAUCUGUAACUCACAGGCUAUUUGCUUUGAGAUAAGAGACUUAUGCUAAAUAUCUUUUUCUCUUCACCUCUGCCUCACUGGCCUUGCUAGAGCUUAAAAUACCCAUAAACAAUGGCAAGGCAGGUUAAUGGAACAUACCCUAUAUGGAAAUUCCAUGUUGACAAUGUAUGUAUAUUAACUCAUAGAAUCCAGUCCACAUUUUAAUCCUAUGAAGUGAGCACCAAGAUGCAAAAGAGUUAAAUAAACUGCCCGAAGUCACUCAGCUAACAGAAAAGAGCCAGAUACCCAACCCAACUUAGGAAAACUACAACACUAGAUACCCCUCCUUUUGUAUUAGGGCACUGAAGGUUCCUAAUCAAAUGCAAGGAAUCCACAGGAAGGGAAGAAGACCAGAACUCCUAGUGCACAUGCUGGGUUCAGGCACAGUGCAGUAGGUAACAGGGGUGCCUGACACACUGGUCCCAUCAGGCUUGUGGUGGCCAGGGAGGCCUGGGUAGCAGAAGCCCAAGAAGACUGCCUGAGACCUUAGUGACCUGUGUGUUACCCCAGUAUGCCAGAACAACAACUGUCAUUUUCUACAUCUGCUGUCUUGUGAAGAAUGGUAACACAGGCUGGCUAAGCCAUCAUCAGACAUUAAGAAUUUAGUAUAAAUUAACUUGUUGAAUUAGGUAUUCCCCCACCCAGACCCACUAAGCAGGUCAGGAAAGAAUCAGUGAAAGGAUAAGGAAAAGGCAAGUGUAGAGGGUGGAAGGGGCAGACUGAAGUGGGGUACCAGGAAACAUGGAGUUGGGGGAGGAGGCUGAGGAAGAGCACAGAAGAAAUGGGGUUCCUCAGUGAGUACCCUAGACUGACUGAGGCCCAGCCUGGUCUGCCACUACACACAGGAACCUUGCACUGCACACAUGAACCGUCCACUAUACACAUGAACCUUGCACUGCACACAUGAACUGUCCACUAUACACAUGAACCUUGCACUGCACACAUGAACUGUCCACUAUACACAUGAACCUUGCACUGCACACAUGAACCGUCCACUAUACACAGGAACCUUGCACUGCACACAUGAACCGUCCACUAUACACAGGAACCUUGCACUGCACACAUGAACCGUCCACUAUACACAGGAACCUUGCACUGCACACAUGAACUGUCCACUAUACACAUGAACCUUGCACUGCACACAUGAACCUUGCACUGCACACAUGAACCAUCCACUAUACACAUGAACCUUGCACCGCAUACAUAAACCAUCCACUAUACACAUGAACCUUGCACUGCACACAUGAACUGUCCACUAUACACAGGAACCUUGCACUGUACACAUGAACCGUCCACUAUACACAGGAACCUUGCACUGCACACAUGAACCAUCCACUAUACACAUGAACCUUGCACCGCAUACAUAAACCAUCCACUAUACACAUGAACCUUGCACUGCACACAUGAACCAUCCACUAUACACAUGAACCUUGCACCGCAUACAUAAACCAUCCACUAUACACAUGAACCUUGCACUGCACACAUGAACCAUCCACUAUACACAGGAACCUUGCACUGCACACAUGAACUGUCCACUAUACACAUGAACCUUGCACUGUACACAUGAACCGUCCACUAUACACAUGAACCUUGCACUGCACACACGAACCGUCCACCAUGCACAGAAACCUUGCACUGCACACAUGAACCGUCCGCUAUACACGUGACCCUUGCACUGCACACAUGAACCGUCCACUAUACACGUGACCCUUGCACUGCACACAUGAACCGCCCACUAUGCACGUGAACCUUGCACUGCAGACAUGAACCGUCCACUAUACAUGUGAACCUUACACUGCACACAUGAACCGUCCACUAUACAUGUGAACCUUGCACUGCACACAUGAACCGUCCACUAUACACAUGAACCUUGCACUGCACACAUGAACCAUCCACUAUACACAUGAACCUUGCACUGCACACAUGAACCAUCCACUAUACACAUGAACCUUGCACUGCACACAUGAACCUUGCACUGCACACAUGAACCAUCCACUAUACACAUGAACCUUGCACUGCACACAUGAACCUUGCACUGCACACAUGAACCAUCCACUAUACACAUGAACCUUGCACUGCACACAUGAACCUUGCACUGCACACAUGAACCAUCCACUAUACACAUGAACCUUGCACCGCAUACAUAAACCAUCCACUAUACACAUGAACCUUGCACUGCACACAUGAACUGUCCACUAUACACGUGAACCUUGCACUGCACACAUGAACCGCCCACUAUGCACGUGAACCUUGCACUGCACACAUGAACCGUCCACUAUACACGUGACCCUUGCACUGCACACAUGAACCGUCCACUAUGCACGUGAACCUUGCACUGCACACAUGAACUGUCCACUAUACACGUGACCCUUGCACUGCACACACGAACCGUCCACCAUGCACAGAAACCUUGCACUGCACACAUGAACCGUCCGCUAUACACGUGACCCUUGCACUGCACACAUGAACCGUCCACUAUACACGUGACCCUUGCACUGCACACAUGAACCGCCCACUAUGCACGUGAAUGUUGCACUGCACACAAGAACCAUCCACUAUGCACGUGAACCUUGCACUGCAGACAUGAACCGUCCACUAUACAUGUGAACCUUGCACUGCACACAUGAACCGUCCACUAUACAUGUGAACCUUGCACUGCACACAUGAACCGUCCACUAUACACAUGAACCAUCCACUAUACACAUGAACCAUCUAGUCAUCCUUAUCUGAAACCCAGGGUUGUGUGAGACAUGGCAUGAGGUAAACUCCAACUGGUUUCUUGUAACUGGAAGUUGUGAAUUUGAUAAUUCUCAGAAGAUCUGAAAGGUAAACAAGAGAUGAAUUAAGGGGAAGAAGUUUCCUCUGUUUUGCUAAUACUUUUGGAUUGCUUAUACAUGUAGAGGAGAAUUAUUAUAAGAAGCAUAUAUAUAUAUAUAUAAAGUAUAUAUAUAUUUACAUAUAUAAAGUGUAUAUAUAUAUUUAUAUAUAUAAAGUGUAUAUAAAGUGUAUAUAUAUUUACAUAUAUAAAGUGUAUAUAUAUUUAUAUACAUAUAAAGUGUAUA
RNAcentral lists this long non-coding RNA (3454 nucleotides) under Callithrix jacchus (white-tufted-ear marmoset). RNAcentral describes it as "lncRNA (ENSCJAG00000081247.1)". The record is from RNAcentral. Lineage: Eukaryota; Metazoa; Chordata; Mammalia; Primates; Cebidae.